AAUCGCGUGGUUUUAACAGUGUUACUUAUGCACAGGAUGUAAAUGGAAAAAAAAACAGUUAUCGAUGGAAUUUUGCGAGAACAUGACAGAAAAUAAUUAUCUCUAUAGUUUUAAAGCCGUCGAUUUAAUCAAAACGAAAUUUUAAUUGUGAAUCCAUUACCUGGAAAAUAAAAAAUCUAGAGUGAAUGAGCCUCAAAGCUGAAGCCUUAGGAGCCUUUUUGAGCAGACGGACAUGCAGUGACUGACCCCCCCGGAAGGGAGACUCCCUCACCGGGUCUGAAAAAAAUGUCAAAUUUGUCAUCGAUCGAUUUUCUGUCCAAACUACUUGUGAAUUUUUGAAUUUUAAUUUUAAAUCAGGAGUGCAGCUUGUCCGCAGCUGACGAGGCUAGUGGAUUUAACAAGCCAAAAACUUUAUUAACAAAUUACAAAACAAAUGUGCUGAUUCUAUUAACGUUUUUGUGAACAUAAAAAAAUCAUUUUAAGAUUCAUUUUAAACGCUUCACGGGGUUUGCCAGUGGAUUACAAUUGGAUUACAUUCUCCUGUCGUUCCGUUUUUUAUUUUUGAUUAGCAGAUUCUGUUCAAAUAUUUUACCUCAGUAUCUGUGCUGAUACAUUUUGCUUUUAUGACCUUUUUCAUAUUUUUUUGGAAGCAGAGUCAGUCUGGUUUUGGGGGUCACAGCCCUCCUCCUGACCGCAGGGUGAGAGGUCAGACGGCCUCUGCGGAGGCCGCUUCACUCCCAACGUCACCGGAGUUUAAAUCCUUUGAAGGGAUCCGUCCACCUUAAGCAGUGUAGUUCCGGGUCAGAGAGGCAGAAUCUCAGCGCGCAGGCUUCUGGGAAUUGUCAGCUGACGUCUGAAUGGAUGUUGCCGUGGCGACUGGUGUAAAGAUAACAGGAGAAUGAUGGAUUGGAGGUGGUGCUGUCACAUAAAUGAAGGUGGACAGCAUUGGAUGGGAAUGCUGCGUCUUCACACCUGUGGGUCCGAUGUUCUCCACCUUCCCUGGGGUCCAGCACUCGAGUGGGUCAGCCGGAGGGUCAGAAAAUUUUGACGUGGAAGACAUCAGAGAAAGGACAGACCAUGCCUUCCCAAAAAUCUGGGCUUCUGCUCAGGAUUUAUUCAUUUUUUCAGAGGCGCCACCAGUGAACAAAGGCAAAUAAACCACCGGAGGGACGAUCCAACGGCCUCCGCCCAUCCCUCCCUCCAGCUCCUGGUACACCAAUCAUCCGCGACGUGCAAAGAGGAAGGUGAGUGGGUGCUGGGGGUGGGGGGUAAAAAUAAAAGCGGGGUGGAAAUACGCCUGACCAAGUACUUGUUCCUUUCCGUCCCUUCCUGCACCCCUCCUCUCAUCCCAAAAAAAGCAUUC
This is a non-coding RNA of Oryzias latipes (Japanese medaka), 1363 nucleotides long. NCBI's taxonomy places the organism in Eukaryota, Metazoa, Chordata, Actinopteri, Beloniformes, Adrianichthyidae. The record is from RefSeq and is a predicted model, not a curated record.